UCUUCGGCAAUGGACGAAAGUCUGACCGAGCCACGCCGCCUGAGUGAAGAAGGUUUUCGGAUCGUAAAACUCUGUUGUUAGAGAAGGACAAGGAUGAGAGUAAAAUGCUCAUCCCUUGACGGUAUCUAACCAGAAAGCCACGGCUAACUACGUGCCAGCAGCCGCGGUAAUACGUAGGUGGCAAGCGUUGUCCGGAUUUAUUGGGCGUAAAGCGAGCGCAGGCGGUUCUUUAAGUCUGAUGUGAAAGGCCCCGGCUCAACCGGGGAGAGUCAUUGGAAACUGGGGAACUUGAAUGCAGAAGAGGAGAGUGGAAUUCCAUGUGUAGCGGUGAAAUGCGUAGAUAUAUGGAGGAACACCAGUGGCGAAGGCGGCUCUCUGGUCUGUAACUGACGCUGAGGCUCGAAAGCGUGGGGAGCAAACAGG
RNAcentral lists this ribosomal RNA (423 nucleotides) under uncultured bacterium. RNAcentral's name for it is "bacterial SSU rRNA". It matches the Rfam family "Bacterial small subunit ribosomal RNA", at positions 362 to 776 of the family's 1533-position model. The record is from RNAcentral.